CUCGCUGUGAAGAUGCAGUGUACCCGCGGCAAGACGGAAAGACCCCGUUAACCUGUACUAUAGCUUGACACUGAGCAUUGAGCCUGGAUGUGUAGGAUAGGUGGGAGGCGUUGAAGGGUGGACGCCAGUCUGCAUGGAGCCGACCAUGAAAUAACAACCUUUAAUGUUUGAUGUUCUAACGUGGAACCGUAAUCAGGGUUGCGGACAGUGUCUGGUGGGUAGUUUGACUGGUGCGGUCUCCUCCUAAAGAGUAACGGAGGAGCACGAAGGUUGGCUAAUACUGGUCGGACAUCAGGAGGUUAGUGCAAUGACAUAACCCAGCUGGACUGCGCGCGUGACGGCGCGAGCAGGUGCGAAA
Molecule: ribosomal RNA, 358 nt
Filed under: Salmonella enterica subsp. enterica serovar Typhimurium
Lineage: Bacteria; Pseudomonadati; Pseudomonadota; Gammaproteobacteria; Enterobacterales; Enterobacteriaceae
Description: bacterial LSU rRNA
Rfam family: Bacterial large subunit ribosomal RNA
Source: RNAcentral